AUUAUACUCCCUCCAUCCCAAAAUUCUUGUCUUAGAUUCGUCUAAAUACAGAUGUAUCAAGUCACGUUUUAGUAUUAGAUACAUCCGUACCUAGGCAAAUCUAAGACAAGAAUUUUGGGACGGAGGGAGUAUCAA
Non-coding RNA from Triticum aestivum (bread wheat), 135 nucleotides. NCBI's taxonomy places the organism in Eukaryota, Viridiplantae, Streptophyta, Magnoliopsida, Poales, Poaceae. The record is from Rfam.